AUUGAACGCUGGCGGCAUGCCUUACACAUGCAAGUCGAACGGUAUGUGGCAACACAUAGAGUGGCGAACGGGUGAGUAACACGUGGGAACGUACCUUCUGCAGGGGGAUAACUGACCGAAAGGACAGCUAAUACCGCAUAAGACCGAGAGGAGAAAGGUGCAACAGCAUCGGCAGAGGAGCGGUCCGCGGACCAUCAGCUAGUUGGUGGGGUAAGAGCCUACCAAGGCAACGACGGAUAGCCGGCGUGAGAGCGUGGCCGGCCACAAGGACACUGAGAUACGGGUCCUACUCCUACGGGAGGCA
This 304-nucleotide ribosomal RNA is filed under the name uncultured bacterium. RNAcentral describes it as "bacterial SSU rRNA". It matches the Rfam family "Bacterial small subunit ribosomal RNA", at positions 29 to 350 of the family's 1533-position model. The record is from RNAcentral.